Molecule: ribosomal RNA, 305 nt
Filed under: uncultured bacterium
Lineage: Bacteria
Description: bacterial SSU rRNA
Rfam family: Bacterial small subunit ribosomal RNA
Source: RNAcentral
GCCUACGGGGGGCAGCAGUAGGGAAUCUUCCACAAUGGGCGAAAGCCUGUUGGAGCAACGCCGCGUGGGUGAAGAAGGUCUUCGGAUCGUAAAACCCUGUUGUUAGAGAAGAAAGUGCGUGAGAGUAACUGUUCACAUUUCGACGGUAUCUAACCAGAAAGCCACGGCUAACUACGUGCCAGCAGCCGCGGCAAUACGUAGGUGGCAAGCGUUAUCCGGAUUUAUUGGGCGUAAAGGGAACGCAGGCGGUCUUUUAAGUCUGAUGUGAAAGCCUUCGGCUUAACCGGAGUAGUGCAUUGGAAACU